Molecule: ribosomal RNA, 439 nt
Filed under: uncultured bacterium
Lineage: Bacteria
Description: partial 16S ribosomal RNA
Rfam family: Bacterial small subunit ribosomal RNA
Source: RNAcentral
CCUACGGGUGGCAGCAGUGGGGAAUAUUGCACAAUGGGCGAAAGCCUGAUGCAGCAACGCCGCGUGAGUGAUGAAGGCCUUCGGGUUGUAAAGCUCUGUCCUCAAGGAGGAUAAUGACGGUACUUGAGGAGGAAGCCACGGCUAACUACGUGCCAGCAGCCGCGGUAAUACGUAGGGGGCGAGCGUUCUCCGGAAUUACGGGGGGUAAAGGGAGCGGGGGUGGUUGUUUAAUGAAGUGGUGAAAGGCUACGGCUAAACCGGAGUAAGACUUUGAAACGGGGGAACUUGAGUGCAGGAGAGGAGAGUGGAAUUCCUAGUGUAGCGGUGAAAUGCGUAGAGAUUAGGAGGAACACCAGUGGCGAAGGCGGCUCUCUGGACUGUAACUGACGCUGAGGCACGAAAGCGUGGGGAGCAAACAGGAUUAGAUACCCGUGUAGUC